AUUAAAGUAAUAUUUAAAUAUAUUGAUAUAAGGUCAUUCAUUUUAUCAUGAUUGAUUUUUUUUUUCAACUUAUCAUGAUUGAUUUUUUUUAAUUGACGUCCGUAAAAAGUUUUUGGUGAAUUUAUCAAAAGUCAAAACUAACAACUUGGGCAUUCCAUUGUUUUACAAAAGAGCUAUCUACCAUUGGAUAUAUACAUGGACUAAUAAUGUUCAAGUUAUCUUCGCAUAUGUUCAAGAUCUCGCUUUUGAAUUUAAAGGCUACCAAAUGUCGGAUGUGCCUAAGAGUGGACACUAAC
This 296-nucleotide long non-coding RNA is filed under the name Brassica rapa (field mustard). RNAcentral's name for it is "long non-coding RNA (BRAP_LNC005901)". Lineage: Eukaryota; Viridiplantae; Streptophyta; Magnoliopsida; Brassicales; Brassicaceae. The record is from RNAcentral.